AGUGAACGCUGGCGGUAGGCCUAACACAUGCAAGUCGAACGGCAGCACAGUAAGAGCUUGCUCUUACGGGUGGCGAGUGGCGGACGGGUGAGGAAUACAUCGGAAUCUACUUUUUCGUGGGGGAUAACGUAGGGAAACUUACGCUAAUACCGCAUACGACCUACGGGUGAAAGCAGGGGAUCUUCGGACCUUGCGCGAUUGAAUGAGCCGAUGUCGGAUUAGCUAGUUGGCGGGGUAAAGGCCCACCAAGGCGACGAUCCGUAGCUGGACUGAGAGGAUGAUAGGCGGCACUGGAACGGGAACACGGUCCAGGCGCCUGCGGGAGGCAGCAGUGGGGAAUAUUGGACAAUGGGCGCAAGCCUGAUCCAGCCAUACCGCGUGGGUGAAGGAGGCCUUCGGGUUGUAAAGCCCUUUUGUUGGGAAAGAAAGGCAGCAGGUUGAUACCCCGCUGUUCUGACGGUACCCAAAGAAUAAGCACCGGCUAACUUCGUG
Molecule: ribosomal RNA, 492 nt
Filed under: uncultured bacterium
Lineage: Bacteria
Description: partial 16S ribosomal RNA
Rfam family: Bacterial small subunit ribosomal RNA
Source: RNAcentral